This is a long non-coding RNA of Ochotona princeps (American pika), 592 nucleotides long. RefSeq lists it as uncharacterized. The record is from RefSeq and is a predicted model, not a curated record. The transcript has 3 exons. Lineage: Eukaryota; Metazoa; Chordata; Mammalia; Lagomorpha; Ochotonidae.
UCCAAAUGUCAAAAGUAUCGACUGAGACUAGUGUUGGCCGAUGCUGACUGAUGUCCAGUCUGUGAUGAAUUGAGUGGCAUUCUAGCCUCAUUCUGUAUCCAGUCUCAGAGGAGAGAACAGGAAACUAGGAACAGACAAAUCAUUUAAAAAAUGGAUUACAUCCAGUGGUCAAUAGCAAAUAGAGGCAACUCCCCUAUCAGAAAGACUUCACCCAUGGUACCUAGAAACUGGAAACACCAGCUUGCCUUCAUCCAAGCAGAGUCACUUUGUCACUCAACAGCUAUGAGGACCUGUUAUCUUUUCAUCACCUUGUGGUCCUUAUUUAUACUGCUUGGCUCAGGUUUCUCCACACAAGUUCAUUUUCCUUUAUCGUGUCUUGGCAACAGAGGCCUUUGUCUUCCCUUCAGAUGCCUUGCUCAGUGGCAGGAGAUUGGCUAAUGUUUUCUGCCCACACAGAAAUGUUGCUGAAUGUGGAGGAGGACUGAGCAAAGCCCCGGGCUGAGAAGGCUGUGGAGAAAGAAACAAUUUUCUUAGAAUCUGUGUACAAAUUAUAAACCCAAUUAAACUACUGUGUUAAAUCUGAGAACCUUGA